UACCGAGCCCGGCCGGCACCCCACCGCCGGAGCGGGGCGCCGAGCCCCCGCCAUGCCGCCGCCUCCCGCCCCAUGGCCGCGGCGCCGCUGCCUCCCCCCCGCCGGCCCCAGCUGGGCUCAAAGCAAAUUUGUCGCUCUGCGAGCUCAGCGGGGCUGCUUUUGCUACCCAGUCACGCCCUUGUAAUCAGGGUAUCUGCAUUGGUGCCGUGCUAUGAGGUGAUUUUAAAGCUGCUGAAGGGUAUUGCUGCACAGCAGCUGGGUUCUGAGCUGAUGGUGCUCUCUGCUCUGUGCUGGUGUAGCGACUGAAGCUGCCAUGCGGGGGUACCACGGUUGUGUUGACAAAGCCCCAGUUGUGCAGGGUGCAUGUGAGUUGGCAGUCUGGAGGAGAAACAGCAAUGUCAGAGGAAACUUUUAGGAGGGCUGUUUUUCCUGCUGAUGGAGUGUGAAGUUUGUGCGAAAUUAUCGCUCGAUGCCCGGCGUCCCCAGAGAAGACAGAAAGAAAGUGCUGAGAGCUGGGUCGCGGCCUUGCCGUACCAGUCGGUGGAGAUGACCAUAUGGUGCGGGAGAGAGGGCACUACGAGGGGUGCCUCAGCAGAUGUUUGAUAGCACACUUGUUGCCAAAAGCUUGAAGUGUCAGCCAGCUCCAGUAAGGUAGCGUUAGAGCUGUCCCAGGGGUGCAGUUAGGGAGGAAUGCUGCUCAGGUAACAUGUAUUGUAAUUUAGUAUUUGCAUUCGUACUGAAGUAGCUGUGUUUUGUCAGGCAGACAAAUGCAUAACAAGACCCAGAGGCUGGACAUCAGAGCCAAACAAAUUCAUACUUGUAUUAGGGACAGAUUUUUAACGUGGAGAAUAACCAACCAUUUUGUCACUGAAGAAUCAACCUUUCUCGAGCUACAUUGAUGUAAAGGAAGCUCUGUUGCAGUUUUAAAACAUUUAAAAAAAAAAAAAAAAGAAUGCAUUUCAGGCUGUGUUUUAUACGAUAGCCAAACUAGAUUGUCACAGCAAUCUUUCCUGGCCUCUGAACCUAUGAAUCUGAAACACUUAGGCCACCAAAGGAGAGGCUUCUUUUCUUUACUGUUUAAGUAGACAGGACAGACAAAUGGGAGAAGAAGGGAAUUGGUAUACCCUGGAGUAGUGCAGCAGGGAGCAUCAAGUGACUAGUCUCACCUCCCAGAGCAGGUCUCUGAGAACUGGGGGCAGAUUCAGAGCUCUUGUGAUGAAAGUCAGAAAUUCAGAGGACUAUACUUUCUCUGUAUCUGAAUAUUUUAAAUAUUAAUAAGAUGAUUUUUUUAAAAAGGAGCUGUAGUACUUGAUUGUGGUUCCUAGGCAGCAAGAAGAACUUAUUGCAAUAAAACUAUGGUACGCAGUGUAUUGAAUUUACUGCUGGUUACUGUGAGCUAUCAAAAACGUUAAAAUUAUUUCUGUAGAUUCUAUCCUUAUUUAUCUAUAAAUAUGAUAAUUGUGAAUUCCACAAGGAAGAAGAAGAGGCUUGAAUUUAGACAGCAGAGGAAAUAGCUAUGCUGAACUUAUACAACAUUAUGCCCAGCUAUUCUGUUUCUUGCAUGGAUUUACAUUUACUGAAUACAUUUACAAAAAUAAAUAGCGAUUUUCCUUUGAGAACAAAUCUGGAACUGAGUAAAUGUAAGACUUCAGAGUGCUAACAAAAGGACUGAACUUUAAAAUGCAGUUGUGCAGCCCGAAUAAUGUAAAUUAGAACAGCAGAGAGGAAUUGUAAAUUCAGGAAUCCAAAGGAAGAGCUGGUAAUGUUUUUGUGUGAAAUUAUAAACUAGGUUUUGUAGUCUGAUCUGAAACUGUUUAAUUUUCCUUUUUUUUUUUUUUUUCCUCCUAAUGGCAAAUGCAUAUGGAAUUAUUAUUAUUGUUUGUAAUUAUAACAGAAGCUAGAAGGAGCUCCAAGUUUUUGUUUCUUUUCUGAAGUGGAAGAAUCUAUUGAAAGAGGAAAACUUGGCAAAGAGAGCGUGCUGUUUUAUACCGUGACACACUGUCAGCUGCAAAAGUUAUCUGUGCAGAAUUGUCCUAUCCACAGUUCCUCCGACAGCAUAUGUAACAGACCGUGGAAAUACACAGUGGCUAUGUUACAGACGCACAGGAAAUGAAUUUCAAUUUUAGGAAAAUGUCAAGUCAGGUAAAGGAAAAAGUAUAGGCAGCAGGAGGAAGCGCUGGAAUACGUUGCUUGGUUAGCUGAUGUGUCAUUGGGAGCCUUCCCUUUUUAGGUGUAGAUGAAGAGCAGUUAUCUGGACAGCUGAUUCUGCUUUGAGGCAGAGGAAUGGACUAGAUGAUCUGAAGAUUUAGCUGUACAAAAGUGUAGCAGAUUACAUGUAUGAUUCUGAAACGUAUCUCAGAGUCAGGGAGAGUUUUCUGUAUAUGUGCAUUGGGCACCAAAGGACCUCCUGUAUCUACACACCUUUUCACUCAGUUAAUCGCAUUAGUUUCAGCUGGGCUAGUCGAACAAGGAGAAGUUCUUCUUUGGUUUUGAAGGUUUCUGUCUGUAAAUUACUAAUGCUUUCUUCUGCAUUGUGGUAAUGAUAUUUAUCCAAAAAUGAUUUUUAGCAAAAUCACAGAUGACACUGAAAGCAUACAAAUGUAUAAAAUGUAAUAUGAGGAGUCAAGCUCCAUAAACUGAAACAAGGACUGAAAACUGUGUGUAGGAAUUA
Long non-coding RNA from Anas platyrhynchos (mallard), 2671 nucleotides. RefSeq lists it as uncharacterized. Lineage: Eukaryota; Metazoa; Chordata; Aves; Anseriformes; Anatidae. The record is from RefSeq and is a predicted model, not a curated record.